Molecule: transfer RNA, 74 nt
Filed under: Felis catus (domestic cat)
Lineage: Eukaryota; Metazoa; Chordata; Mammalia; Carnivora; Felidae
Also listed under: 3 other names
Rfam family: tRNA
About the family: Transfer RNA (tRNA) molecules are approximately 80 nucleotides in length.
Source: Rfam by way of RNAcentral
GCCUGGCUGGCUCAGACAGUGGAGCACAUGGACUCUUGAUCUUGGAGUUGUGGGUUCAAGCCCCACGUUGCGCG